GAAACAGUACAGAGGAAUAGGACUGAGUAUGAAUACAGGGGAAAGAAAGUAUUGAACAAAAAAUAUCUAUAACAAUAAGUUAUUUCUUAUCUUUUAAAAAUAGAUAUGUAAGAAGCUCUUCUUGUUCGUAUACAGUAUCAGAAAUGGUACUUACAAGAACUUGAGGAGGCAUUUCCUUCAAAAUGGAAUAAAACCUAGGGUUCAUGGGAACACUGGUCGCAUUCCUUGUCAUGCUGUUUCUGUGGAAGGCAUUAAAGAUGUGGUAGCAUUUUUGGAGAACUAUGCUGAAGACUACACCAUUUUACUACCUGGGAGGAUACCUGGAGUGAGGGAUUAUGGGAAGGCCAAGCUAUUGCCGUCCAGUGUGUCCCGACACAAGGUUUACCGGCAGUAUGCUGAUGCUGGUAGGGAACAUACUCUCUGUGAAAAAUUAAUUUGUUUAAAGGUCCUACUUGUGCAAAUAGAGUAUCGAAGAGUAAAAGUAAAAGCGCAUUCUCUAUCUCAGGAUUUAAAUAAAGAAGUUGCCUUUUCUGUUAAUGUACAAUGAACAUCUCAUAAUCAAGAAACAGUUUGUUCUAUGGACAUUGCCGUAUU
Long non-coding RNA from Amphimedon queenslandica, 594 nucleotides. RefSeq lists it as uncharacterized. The transcript is spliced from 4 exons. The record is from RefSeq and is a predicted model, not a curated record. Lineage: Eukaryota; Metazoa; Porifera; Demospongiae; Haplosclerida; Niphatidae.